Molecule: unclassified non-coding RNA, 375 nt
Filed under: soil metagenome
Description: partial contains 5.8S ribosomal RNA, internal transcribed spacer 2, and large subunit ribosomal RNA
Rfam family: 5.8S ribosomal RNA (bases 1-120)
Source: RNAcentral
GAUGAAGAACGUAGCGAAAUGCGAUAAGUAAUGUGAAUUGCAGAAUUCAGUGAAUCAUCGAAUCUUUGAACGCAUCUUGCGCUCCUUGGUAUUCUGAGGAGCAUGCCUGUUUGAGUGUCAUUAAAUUCUCAACUACACUGACUUUGAAUUGGUGUGGCUUGGAUUUGGGGGUAAAUUGUUGUGGGCUUUUUGUAUAGUCUGCUCCCCUGAAAUUGAUUAGCGGUACCUUUGUGGAACUGUCUACAGGUGUGAUAAUUAUCUACAUCUUAGACAUCUGCUGGAAUGCUGCUUUCUAAACCUUACUUGUAUUGACAAUCUUGACCUCAAAUCAGGUAGGACUACCCGCUGAACUUAAGCAUAUCAAUAAGCGGAGGA